This 773-nucleotide long non-coding RNA is filed under the name Physcomitrium patens. Its description in RNAcentral is "long non-coding RNA (PPAT_LNC007746)". The record is from RNAcentral. Lineage: Eukaryota; Viridiplantae; Streptophyta; Bryopsida; Funariales; Funariaceae.
UAUUAAAUAAUCUUGAAUCAAUGCUCUCAUACCUCCUUUGCCAAAAUUGAUUUGAAAGAGAUCCUCUAUAUCUUUUAAUGUAAUUUUUCCAUCUUUUCAGUAAAUAACUCCUCGCUACACCAUAUUAUUAAAUUAACUACAAUACUUCCUAGCAUGUGAAAUGUCAUCACACCACAUACAUCUUUGUACAUAUCCUUGUUUUGAAACAUUCUUCAAAUUAUUUGUAGAAGUAUUUUCUUGAAGUCUUGGCAAUUUGAUUUAAAGAUCUCACAUUCCACAUAUAAUUUCUUCAAUUUCCAUCUCUCCUUUCUUUGAUAAAGAUGUUGAAGAUUGAACAGUAGGCAUUGUUGGUUGUGUUGUAUGUACUGGAAUUUUAGGUGCUUGUACUACUUUUAGAAUAUUACUCGUAUCCUUCAUCCUUUCUCUUUUUGCAAGCAAACCCAUUGCAUUUUCAACAUUUUUCCACUUUGUUGUCAAUCCUUCAUCUUCUUCUUUGUCUUCAAGAAGCAACUCCAAUUUCUUUUGUAAUUUUCCAUCAGCAGCUUGAAGAAAUAAUUCAACCUUGUUCGGCUCUAAUGUCAAAUUUUCUACCUUCGAUAAUUGAGAAUACUGCCUCUCAAAUUUCUUUAGUAGCUCUGUUGCUUGCAAAUUCUUAUUACGCCGCUCAAUCCAUUUUAGAAAUAGUUUCUUUGUAAUACAAUCAAUGUCCUCCAAGAAAUAUUUGUCUUUUAAUGCAUGUGAAAAAAUCUCCCAUGAAUUUCCAUAAUGCUCUA